UUAGUUAGUGGCGAACGGGUGAGUAAUAUAUAGGUAACAUGCCCUUAAGCCUGGGAUAACUUCUGGAAACGGAAGCUAAUACCGGAUAAUCUCUUUUUAUCGCAUGAUUUAAAGAGGAAAGAUUUAUCGCUUAAGGAGUGGCCUAUAUCUGAUUAGCUAGUUGGUGAGGUAAUGGCUUACCAAGGCUACGAUCAGUAGCUGGUCUGAGAGGAUGAACAGCCACACUGGAACUGAGACACGGUCCAGACUCC
This 251-nucleotide ribosomal RNA is filed under the name uncultured bacterium. RNAcentral describes it as "partial 16S ribosomal RNA". It matches the Rfam family "Bacterial small subunit ribosomal RNA", at positions 88 to 339 of the family's 1533-position model. The record is from RNAcentral.